RNAcentral lists this ribosomal RNA (428 nucleotides) under Gemmatimonadota bacterium. RNAcentral's name for it is "Gemmatimonadetes bacterium partial 16S ribosomal RNA". It matches the Rfam family "Bacterial small subunit ribosomal RNA", at positions 355 to 776 of the family's 1533-position model. The record is from RNAcentral. Lineage: Bacteria; Pseudomonadati; Gemmatimonadota.
UAGGGAAUCUUCGGCAAUGGACGAAAGUCUGACCGAGCAACGCCGCGUGAGUGAAGAAGGUUUUCGGAUCGUAAAACUCUGUUGUUAGAGAAGAAAAGGACGUUAGUAACUGAACGUCCCCUGACGGUAUCUAACCAGAAAGCCACGGCUAACUACGUGCCAGCAGCCGCGGUAAUACGUAGGUGGCAAGCGUUGUCCGGAUUUAUUGGGCGUAAAGCGAGCGCAGGCGGUUUCUUAAGUCUGAUGUGAAAGCCCCCGGCUCAACCGGGGAGGGUCAUUGGAAACUGGGAGACUUGAGUGCAGAAGAGGAGAGUGGAAUUCCAUGUGUAGCGGUGAAAUGCGUAGAUAUAUGGAGGAACACCAGUGGCGAAGGCGGCUCUCUGGUCUGUAACUGACGCUGAGGCUCGAAAGCGUGGGGAGCAAACAGG